UCAUAUAGUAUAACGUCCUUGUAGAAAAUGGAGGCACCGGGAACCUAAUUUCAACCAGAUUGUACUUUGAAUGAUCAGUCAACUCAUAAUGGGUUUCUAACGUGGCCUCAAAAAGAGCAGUUCAUGACACAUCGUGUUACAUGAACCCCUAUCCUGGAGACACUCUAGUUUUCUCAGGGGUCAAUGCAAACAAAGCCCUUGCGCUCCAAGUUGAAACUGUGAUGAACUAAUGAUCCCAUGCUCUUGUUACUUGGUGAGGAGCACCAUUACCCACACAAGAGAGCUCAUCCCUCUACUGUGAUGCCAGGCCAUGGUAUUAGUGAGGAUAUCCCACUUUGUGAUGAUGACGAGCUGGCUGGAAAACAUGUUCAAACUGCACAAUUAACUGAAUAUUUAGUGAUCAGUGAUCAUCUGGGGUGAUCAAGGGCUAUCGCUAACGAUUGGUAACGAGUUUUCAAAAAAAAAAAAGAAAAGAAAAAAAUGAUUG
RNAcentral lists this long non-coding RNA (487 nucleotides) under Oryza brachyantha (malo sina). Its description in RNAcentral is "long non-coding RNA (OBRA_LNC001824)". The record is from RNAcentral. Lineage: Eukaryota; Viridiplantae; Streptophyta; Magnoliopsida; Poales; Poaceae.